UACGUAGGUCGCAAGCGUUGUCCGGAUUUACUGGGCGUAAAGAGCGCGCAGGCGGCUGGUCAAGUCCGAUGUGAAAUCUCCCGGCUCAACUGGGAAACUGCAUCGGAAACUGAUCGGCUUGAAGAUGGGAGAGGGUAGUGGAAUUCCCGGUGUAGUGGUGAAAUGCGUAGAUAUCGGGAGGAACACCGGUGGCGAAGGCGGGUCUCUGGGCCGAUACUGACGCUGAGGAGCGAAAGCGUGGGGAGCGAACAGG
Molecule: ribosomal RNA, 253 nt
Filed under: uncultured bacterium
Lineage: Bacteria
Description: partial 16S ribosomal RNA
Rfam family: Bacterial small subunit ribosomal RNA
Source: RNAcentral